AUGUGAAACGGUGUUGACAUUUCUUUUCAGUAAAGUUUCGCAAUUCAUCUUGAUCGUUUAAAGCCAGGACAACGCUUCUAAAUGGUGGAAAUUUACUUUGAAAAAAUAUCUCGAUUCAAAACCAUUAAUAAGAAUGCUUAGAAAAAGUCAAAAACAUGAUUGAACUUGUGAUACACCGUUAAAUUAGGAAUUAAAAGGCAUUUUUAAUAUUUGAUAUAGAAAAACCAGGUCCGUAUUUGAAAAAAAAAGUUAUAUAGUGGACCAAAGACGAAAUGUCGGACCUAAAGUUUAAUAACGGCAUCUUAAACAGGGAAAACAGUGGCUAUGAGAAAGUGUCAACUCGGAAUUUGUUAGAUUUGAAAGCGGCAUGUUAUUGAGGACCCAAAGCUGCUAAAUUUUUCCCAUUUAACCAACUUUUUAUCUGCCCUCCUUAUCUUAGGCACUUUGUAUAAAUAAACGGAAUAAACCAGCGUAUUUAGGA
Anthonomus grandis grandis is the source of this 481-nucleotide long non-coding RNA. RefSeq lists it as uncharacterized. The transcript has 2 exons. The record is from RefSeq and is a predicted model, not a curated record. Lineage: Eukaryota; Metazoa; Arthropoda; Insecta; Coleoptera; Curculionidae.